RNAcentral lists this ribosomal RNA (484 nucleotides) under uncultured bacterium. RNAcentral's name for it is "partial 16S ribosomal RNA". It matches the Rfam family "Bacterial small subunit ribosomal RNA", at positions 28 to 523 of the family's 1533-position model. The record is from RNAcentral.
GACGAACGCUGGCGGCGUGCUUAACACAUGCAAGUCGAACGAUGAACCCGGAGCUUGCUCCGGUGGAUUAGUGGCGAACGGGUGAGUAACGCGUGAGUAACCUGCCCUUGACUCUGGAAUAACUGCGGGAAACUGUAGCUAAUACCGGAUACGACCCUCGGCGGCAUCGCCAGGGGGUGGAAAGAAUUUCGGUCAAGGAUGGACUCGCGGCCUAUCGGCUAGUUGGUGAGGUAACGGCUCACCAAGGCGACGACGGGUAGCCGGCCUGAGAGGGUGACCGGCCACACUGGGACUGAGACACGGCCCAGACUCCUACGGGAGGCAGCAGUGGGGAAUAUUGCACAAUGGGCGCAAGCCUGAUGCAGCAACGCCGCGUGAGGGAUGACGGCCUUCGGGUUGUAAACCUCUUUUAGUAGGGAAGGAGCGAAAGUGACGGUACCUGCAGAAAAAGCACCGGCUAACUACGUGCCAGCCGCCGCCGUAA